GCUGGCGCGUGACGCCGGGAGGCCGGGCGCUUUCCCGCCGGCGGUGCCCGCGGGCCGGGAGGCUGCGGGGCGCUGGCGCCGAGCCCCGGUGAAGGGCGCCGGCGAGCGCGCGGGCUGCCGGGGACGAGCGGUUGCGUCCGCGCGGCGCCGCCGGGAUGAACCUUCUUCGUGCCAGGAUCCACGCUAAAGAACGUUCCUGCUCUCCUCCCAGCUGGUCUGAACAUCUCCCACUAAAAAAUGCUCCCAUGAUGCACUGUGGCGCUUCUUACCUUGUAGCUUGUAUUGCUAUUUGAAAAAAAGCAUUGCAGCAUUUUCACACCAUGUGGUCCUGCCUACUCCUACCUCUUUCUGUGCACCGUGGUGGAACUUAAAAAGGGACCCAGAAACCAAUGAGAUUUUCCCCCUCUCCCCAGUUCAUACAAGCAGUCUUCUUUCCUGCUGUGCAUCGGGGAAUUGAUUUGGCCUAAGGCCAGGAUAAAGUCUCGAGGUUGGAAAAGGUCUUUGGGGAAGGUGUUGAGUUUUGAGCUCUGCAAUGAUCUUUGAAUGAGGGAAUGAUAUUUUUCUGGGUAUCAGCCUGCUGAGGUUUGAAAGCACAAAGAACAAGAUUUGACUUCUAAGAUCCAAGUGUUUAAGGUAGAUAACUUAGAUGUAAGAGGCUCUUUUCUGGGUAAGGUGGUUUUGUUUUUCUGUUGAGAGUGCUGAGGAGGAAGCUUUUACAAGCUAUUGGAGACUGUGUUAUCAGCGAGACUUUGGGCACCUGGGCAGCUUUCUCUAGCAUUUUUCCAUUCUGAAGACAGCUGCACCUCUACCUGCUCUGGGACAUCUGGCAGCCAUUUGCACAGCUGCUGCUGGACUUCCACCUCUACCUCUCCAGGCAGAUGAGUCAGAUCUUCCCAUAGGAAAUUUUUGGCAAGUGAAAAAGCUUGUGAAAAACUGUCCUUUGUGAUUAGAGACCUUGAACCAGUAGGGAUGCAGCCUCUUGAAAAGGAGGAUCAUAAAUGGAUGUGCCUGACAAAAAUCAGCAAGAUAUUUUAUCCACUUGCAAACUUACCUUCUUCCAAAGAACAUGGAAUUAAACAGAUCCGUUUGUUCAUGAUGUGGAUGUGAAAAUAGACAGCACUGAAGAGCUGUUCUAAACAUCGACAUUUGAAAAGAAGUUGGUCAAAUCCCUACUCAGAGGAUGGAAAAGAUGGCCUUCAAGAAGUGAUAUUCUGGUAAAUUCUGUGCCCUUCACAUGUCAGAACCUUUUCUUGAAAGGAGCUGGGUACAAUCCCCAGGUAUAGAGAACAUGGAGAGAGGACAUGUAUAGAUCAGGAUCCAGGGGAAAAUGAGUUCUUAAUAUUUCCUACAUCCUUUGAGUAAAAUAAGUAUAAAAAUAUGUUGAAUGAGACGUCGUUCUCCCUGGUCUGCUUUCUUUCUCUGACCAGCUUUCUCCUCUCUUUGUUGCUCACCUUACACUUCUGUGAUUCCUCUGCCUCCACACUUAGGGGCCUCAACUCUGUUGGUUUGGAACUGUCUUUCCAACUGCCUCCUGGCAAAUUCCACAUAUGUCCCUUCCAUCUCCAAGGGACCCACCUCUUUUUCUUGACAGCCUCUGUCUCAUGCACCUUAUGUUGAUGCCAGGAUAGUGGGACAAUGAAGAAAACAGGAAUUCCAAGAAGGACAAGCCUGUGGCAGUUGGGUGAUGGGCUUUUAGGGAUUCUUCAUUUUUCCUUAAAUUUUCAGUACUUCCCAGACUCCCUGUAGAAAAUGUUUUACUUUUUAUAGUAAGUAAACUCAUUUCAAAAAUCAUGCAAGAAAGUAUGCAUUGGUAAUUGUGGUCAUGAGUACAACAGUGAGCCUAUGAGUCAGUAAUAAAGGAAAACAUUUUAUCUUGACCAUUUCCUAUCUUACCUAAGAAUAGGAAUUGGCAAGGGGGCCAGGGCAAGGAUGGGGGAAGGAACUGGGCAUGCCCACCUACUGUAUCUGAGUGCUUGAGUUUGAGUUCCUGCUUCUAGAAAGUCAUUCCAGCUUCCAGCUAGAAAAGAGGCAGCAGGUGAUGGGUCAAGUAAUUGAGUUCCUGCCACCUACAUGAGAGACUUGGACUGGGUUCCCAGCUCCCAGCUUUAACCCAGUCCAUCCCUGGCAAUUGUGGGCAUUUGGGAAGUGAACCACUGGAUAGGGUGCUCUUUCUUGCUCUUCCUUUCAAAAAAGAAUAAACUUUAAAAAGGGGGAUAUGGUGGGUAUUGUGGUACAGCAGGUUAUUUUGCCCACAUCCCAUUUCUGAAUGCCUGAGAUUGAAUCCCACCUCCACUUCCUAUCCAGCUUCAAACUAAUGUGCACCCUGAGAGGCAGCAGAUAGUAGCUCAAGUACCUGGGUCCCUGCCACCCAUGUGUGAGAUUCUGAUGGAGUUCCUGGCUUUCAACUUUAGCCUGGCCCACCCACCACCUGGCUGUUGCAGGGAUUUGGGGAGUGAACCAGUGGAUGAAAGAUCUCACUCUUGCUCUGCCUUUCAAAUAAUCAAUAAAUACAUAAAUAAGCUUUAAAAAUCCAGUCUUAAGUGAAAAUGUCACUUCUGGAACUGGGGUAUCCCAAUCCAACACUUGCCCUUUGUUCAUUCACAAAAUAAAUAUGAGCAUCUGUUAUGGUCAGGCAUUGUGGGGUGAGCAAAAGCAGGUAAAUGCCUUCCUCCUGGAGCUCCCCCCACCCCCAGUCUGACACCCUGUGUUGUUUUCGAGUAUUUUUCAAGUGUCUAUUGGCUAUUUAUACACUUUGUUUUCUUAAAUGUGUAUUCAAAUCUUUUACCCUUUUUUAAAAAAGGGAUCAUUUGUCAUCUAAUUGGAUUGUGUGAGUUCUUUAUUUAUCUGGAUUCAACCCUUUGUUAGGUACACAUAUUGGGAAUAUUUCCUUCCAGUCUGUGACUUGCCUUUUCAUUUUCUUUUGAAAAGAUGUUUUCAAUUUCUAAAAAUAGUUUAUUUAUUUAAGACAGAGAGACAGCAAUCCCAUCCACUGGUUCACUCCCCAAAUGGCCACAAUGGCUGAAUCUGGGUUGGGGUUGAAAUCUGGAGGCCAAAAUGCAAAUUAGCCACAUUGGCCUCAGGGACCCAACCCCUGCAGCCUUCACCUGCUGCUUCCCGGGUGCCUAUUAGCAGGGUUGGGAAAGGAGUGAAUUGAAACCAGGUGCUCUGCUACUCAAGUGGGUUGUGGGUGUCUUAACUGCUAGCCUAAACACCUACUGCCAUAUAUAUAUAUAUAUAUUUUUUUUUUUUUUUUUUGACAGAGUGGACAGUGAGAGAGAGAAAGGUCUUCCUUUUUCCGUUGGUUCACCCUCCAAUGGCCGCUGUGGGAGGUGCACCGUGCUGAUCCGAAGCCAGGAGCCAGGUGCUUCUCCUGGUCUCCCAUUCAGGUGCAGGGCCCAAGCACUUGGGCCAUCCUUCACUGCACUCCCUGGCCACAGCAGAGAGCUGGACAGGAAGUGGAGCAACCGGGACAGAACUGGCGCCCCUACCGGGACUAGAACCCAGUGUGCUGGUGCUGCAGGCAGAGGAUUAGCCUAUUGAGCCAUGAUGCCGGCCCUGCCAUAUAUUUUUAAUUUUGAUGAAUAGAAGAAUUUUUGUUGUUUAUGCUUUUCUGUCAUACUGAAGAAUUUUGGUUUACCCACAGAGUACUAAAUGGUUCCCUCUCAUUUUUCCUCUUGAGUCUUUAUGAUCUAGCAUUUAUGUUGAGGUCUGUAUCAUAUUUUGAGUUAAUUUAUGCAUAUGAUGUGAAGUAAAUGUGGAGCUUUGUCGUCCCCCACCCAGCCCCACCAAUGGGAUAUCCGGUUGUCCCAGCACUAAUUGUUGAAAAAGCUGAUAAUUGGUCAUGCAUGUGUGGAUCUGUUUCUGUACUGUGGUUCCUUCAUCUGUAUGUCCAUCUCACAUAUAAAUGCCACAUGUCUUAAUUUCUCUGGUAAUUCAAGUAAAUCUAUUAGUGUAAAUCUCCAACAUGGUUCUUCUUUUAAAAAAAUCUGUUUAUGAUUCCAUAAUCUUGAAUUUCUUUGAAAAUUUCAGAAUCAGCUUGUUAAUGGUAAGUGAAAACAAGACAACACAAGAAGCCUGCUGAGAUUUUGAUUCGGUUUCCAUUGAAUUUAUAAAUCAGUUUGGGAGAUAUUAAGUCUUCUUAUCUGUGAAGACAAUUUAUCUUUUUAUUUAUUUAGAUCUUCAGUUUCUCUUAGCAAUGUUUGCUGAGAUCUCAACAUGUCUUGCACAUAUUUUGCUAAAUUUAUCCCAGGAUAAUUCAUGUUUUGGUGUGCUAUAUUGUUUUUAAAAUUUAUUUCCAGUUAUUUGUUUCUAAUAGAGAAAUGUUAUUGACUUUGUAUAUUCAUCUUGUGUUCUGCAAUCUUGUAUAUGCUUAUUAGUCCUAGGAGCUUUUUUUUAAGUUAUUUCCUCAAGACUUUCUAUGGAUGUGAUUAUGUCUUUUGGGAAUAAAGACAGCCACUGUGUAAGUCUGUUGUUUAGUUUUCUCGUUUGCACUGACCAAUCCACCAUUACAGUGUUACAAAUAAAAGCAGUGAGAAUAGA
Oryctolagus cuniculus (rabbit) is the source of this 4539-nucleotide non-coding RNA. The record is from RefSeq and is a predicted model, not a curated record. NCBI's taxonomy places the organism in Eukaryota, Metazoa, Chordata, Mammalia, Lagomorpha, Leporidae.